Acanthaster planci (crown-of-thorns starfish) is the source of this 1321-nucleotide long non-coding RNA. The record is from RefSeq and is a predicted model, not a curated record. Lineage: Eukaryota; Metazoa; Echinodermata; Asteroidea; Valvatida; Acanthasteridae.
CAUGCAUCUCUCCAGCAAGUAUCAGCUCAGCCAGUUGUUCAUCGUGUCAUGGAUGCAUAUGCCCAAGAAUUUAUUCCCCCUUCUGCUACUGUCAAGUACCCACAGGCCCUCUCAUCUCUCUAUGACCCAGACAGUUUGGACCUGACUUACCCUCAACUUUUUCAGAAAUGUGCUACUGUCAGUGACUCAAUAAAGAUAACAACACAGCAGUGUCAAAUUGUGGAAGAAGGAACUAAUGGUCAGGCUAACUGCAAGAUCUGGUUGCCCAGAGAGCUGGUUGUAUUAUUGCUUCAAAUUCCAAAAGUGCUGCAAGAACAAAUCCUGCUAUGCCAUCAGCAAGUCUCAUCAAGAAAAUUUGCUAUCCAGAGGCAUUUCGGUUCUCAAUUGCACCAACAAGGUGGGGAUGUGAUCGUGAGAAGGAAGCAAAGGAUGCAUAUUGCUGUCAGGAGAGCCCUAAGCAUCAAGACCUGGUGGUGAAAUAUUGUGGCCUCUACAUCAGCCCCCAACAUCCUUUUGUAGGGGCAUCCCCUGAUGGUCUCCUAAUCUGCAAAUGCUGCCAACCUCGUCUCCUUGAAAUCGAGUCCCCUACUGCAUACCAGAUAGCCUUCCUAUCACAGAAGAACCAAAAGGUCUUUGUAUGGGGAGGAAAGAUGGUUGCUGGCAACUGAAAAUGGGCCACCAGUAUUAUUACCAAGUUCAAUGCCAAUUGAAUGUUUGUGAUGUAGAAAUAGGAGUGUUUGUGUUGUGGACAAGGGAAGGCCUUACUGGCCAGGAGAUCACAAGAGAUACCUUCUUUUGUAAAGAUGCUAUGGGGGCAGUGAACUCAUCAUUUGUAACUGGUGUCCUUCCAGAUUUGAUUGGGAAAUGGCUGUGUCGGAAACCAGUGCAAUCUUUGACAGGAAAUGUACAGAUACCAGAACCAGAGGCAACAAGUCGUGACAACAGGGAUGAAAACCACAGGCUGUAGUGCUACUGUGAAAAACCAUCAUUUGGACAGAUGAUUAAAUGUGAGAAUAAGAAGUGCAGCAUAAUAUUGUUUCACAUGGAGUGACUUCUGAUACGCGUACCUCCCAAAGGAAAAUGGCUCUGUCCACACUGCAGAAAAGUGCCUAAGUAUUCUGACAAGAAGUCCCAAAAUGGUCAGAUACAGCAAAAUGAGUCUUGAAGACAAGUGUAACAUGGCCAAAAAAGCUUGGACACAGCAAUAAUAAUGUCAUACAAAUAAUUUAUUUUAAGAAUAAGCCUUCAAAAUGUACAGCAUUUGAAUUAAAGACAUAUACAAAUGAUGAUGGAAGGUGAAAUAAAUGAUCUUGAUAUUUCA